GACGAACGCUGGCGGCGUGCUUAACACAUGCAAGUCGAACGGAAAGGCCCUGCUUUUGUGGGGUGCUCGAGUGGCGAACGGGUGAGUAACACGUGAGUAACCUGCCCUUGACUUUGGGAUAACUUCAGGAAACUGGGGCUAAUACCGGAUAGGAGCUCCUGCUGCAUGGUGGGGGUUGGAAAGUUUCGGCGGUUGGGGAUGGACUCGCGGCUUAUCAGCUUGUUGGUGGGGUAGUGGCUUACCAAGGAUUUGACGGGUAGCCGGCCUGAGAGGGUGACCGGCCACAUUGGGACUGAGAUACGGCCCAGACUCCUACGGGAGGCAGCAGUGGGGAAUAUUGCACAAUGGGCGGAAGCCUGAUGCAGCAACGCCGCGUGCGGGAUGACGGCCUUCGGGGUGUAAACCGCUUUCGCCUGUGACGAAGCGUGAGUGACGGUAAUGGGUAAAGAAGCACCGGCUAACUACGUG
RNAcentral lists this ribosomal RNA (468 nucleotides) under uncultured bacterium. RNAcentral describes it as "partial 16S ribosomal RNA". It matches the Rfam family "Bacterial small subunit ribosomal RNA", at positions 28 to 507 of the family's 1533-position model. The record is from RNAcentral.